CCGGUGGUUCUGAAUGGAAGGGCCAUCGCUCAACGGAUAAAAGGUACUCCGGGGAUAACAGGCUGAUACCGCCCAAGAGUUCAUAUCGACGGCGGUGUUUGGCACCUCGAUGUCGGCUCAUCACAUCCUGGGGCUGAAGUCGGUCCCAAGGGUAUGGCUGUUCGCCAUUUAAAGUGGUACGCGAGCUGGGUUUAGAACGUCGUGAGACAGUUCGGUCCCUAUCUGCCGUGGGCGCUGGAGAAUUGAAGGGGGCUGCUCCUAGUACGAGAGGACCGGAGUGGACGAACCUCUGGUGUUCGGGUUGUGUCGCCAGACGCAUUGCCCGGUAGCUAAGUUCGGAAUCGAUAACCGCUGAAAGCAUCUAAGCGGGAAGCGAGCCCUGAGAUGAGUUCUCCCUGGCACUUUAAGUGCUCUGAAGGGUUGUCCGAGACCAGGACGUUGAUAGGCAGGGUGUGUAAGCGUUGUGAGGCGUUGAGCUAACCUGUACUAAUUACCCGUGAGGCUUAACCAU
RNAcentral lists this non-coding RNA (511 nucleotides) under Vibrio aerogenes CECT 7868. RNAcentral's name for it is "Bacterial large subunit ribosomal RNA". It matches the Rfam family "Bacterial large subunit ribosomal RNA", at positions 2420 to 2925 of the family's 2925-position model. Lineage: Bacteria; Pseudomonadati; Pseudomonadota; Gammaproteobacteria; Vibrionales; Vibrionaceae. The record is from Rfam by way of RNAcentral.